Molecule: long non-coding RNA, 671 nt
Filed under: Homo sapiens (human)
Lineage: Eukaryota; Metazoa; Chordata; Mammalia; Primates; Hominidae
Description: HSALNT0267915
Source: RNAcentral
ACUCUGAUUUUCACAAGACUCACCAGUGCAUUUAGCAUCCCUCAGAAGAAGUAAUUGAUGAGCUUAAGAUCUGGAGAGUGCACAGCCAAUUCCACGUGGCCAUAUCACCCAAUCCAUCUUUGAAAAUUAAUCAUCAAACCAGUCCCUCUGCAUUCUGGCAUAAUGGGGUCACAUACAAUCCCAAUAUACAAUCACGUACAAUCUCACUUUGGGUGACCUUCCCCUACCCUGUCAAGUGCAGGUAUUAAUUGAUUAUAAAACAUGCUCACAUAAAGUAAAUAUUUACUCAUGUUUCCCAACUUUAUAGCCACCCUGUACAUUUGUAACUGGUUUGUCUUCCUCACUAGAAUGUACACUCCAUGAGGGAGCAGGAUUUGUCUAUCUUGUUCAUUGAUGAAUAAAUCCUUAGCAGCUAGGAGUCUGUAUUUAGAUAAUAUGUUCUCCAUUUUUAAAUGCAUGAUUGAAAUCUGGGAAAGUGAGGACAGGAGGGGAUGAAGAAUAAAUGAUCUUGAAUGGGAUUGUUAUCAAACUGAAGGAAAUAAAAGGAUAGUUUGAACUGAAUCAUAAGAAAGAACUGUCUAUCAAGGUAUAGUUAGAGCAGUUCUUAAGGAGAAGUUUAUCAUCUUACAUGCAUACAACUGAAAAGAAUACAAGAAAAAAUUAAUAAUGAA